This 859-nucleotide long non-coding RNA is filed under the name Homo sapiens (human). Its description in RNAcentral is "non-protein coding lnc-IL17RA-4:34". Lineage: Eukaryota; Metazoa; Chordata; Mammalia; Primates; Hominidae. The record is from RNAcentral.
ACCUCGCCAUUGCACUCCAGUCUGGGGCACAGAUCGAGACUUCAUCUCAAAAAAAAAAAAAAAAAAGGAAAAGGAAGGGAUGGCAUGUGCCACAUGGACACCGUGGCCCGGCAGAGGGGCUGCGAGAGGCCCUAGGCAGGAGUGAACGUGGAGAAGGGUGGCGUGUGUGAAUGAUGAUGGGGAAAGCAGCAGGUGAGGUCCCGGGGGUAGCGGUGGGACAGGAUGAAGAGGCAUUUGUGCCAUGGUAAGAAAUCACUGCUUUUGCUCUGACUGAGACGUCACUGGAGGGCUUUCAUCAGAGAACAGACCACGUGAUCUGCCAAUGAGUGAGCAGAGCAAGUGGGAAAGAAAAGGGCGGAGGCAGGGAGGCCAUGAAGUGUGGCUGUAACAGCUCAGGUGAGGCCAGGGGCCUAGUUGGGGCGGGGCGUGGUGGGUAGCAGAGCUCACUUGGGAAAUUAAGAGGAGCUCAGCAGGACGCCAGGCCCUCGGCCUAGACAAGGAGAGGAAGGAGCUGCUGCAGCCACCUAAGCUGGGGAAGACAGUUAAGCAGGAGGUGUGGACUGCGCUCAGUGUCUGGUCGUGGACACAGCAACACUUACACCGAGGGAAUGAGCACAGCUCCUCAGCACUCAGCCACUCAGCCUCCAAGACACCGGCUCUCCUGUUUCAUAGCCACUCUCUCAACCUCCUUUGCUCCCUAACCUCUAAACACCUCUGAGGCAUCCAAGCAAAGGUGUCAAGAAAUCAGCUGAGGGCCGGGCGCGGUAGCUCAUGCCUGUAAUCCCAGCACUUCAGGAGGUCAGGCAGGCGGAUCACCUGAGGCCAGGAGUUUGAGACCAGCCUGGCUAACAGUGAAACC